AAGUCGUAACAAGGUUUCCGUAGGUGAACCUGCGGAAGGAUCAUUAAAUAAUCAAUAAUUUUGGCUCGUCCAUUAUUAUCUAUUUACUGUGAACUGUAUUAUUACUUGACGCUUGAGGGAUUCUCCACUGCUAUAAGGAUAGGCGGUGGGGAUGUUAACCGAGUCAUAGUCAAGCUUAGGCUUGGUAUCCUAUUAUUAUUUACCAAAAGAAUUCAGAAUUAAUAUUGUAACAUAGACCUAAAAAAUCUAUAAAACAACUUUUAACAACGGAUCUCUUGGUUCUC
Molecule: unclassified non-coding RNA, 284 nt
Filed under: Mucor circinelloides
Lineage: Eukaryota; Fungi; Mucoromycota; Mucoromycetes; Mucorales; Mucoraceae
Description: partial internal transcribed spacer region
Rfam family: Eukaryotic small subunit ribosomal RNA (bases 1-46)
Source: RNAcentral